AUUGAACGCUGGCGGCAGGCCUAACACAUGCAAGUCGAGCGGAUGAAGGGAGCUUGCUCCUGGAUUCAGCGGCGGUCGGGUGAGUAAUGCCUAGGAAUCUGCCUGGUAGUGGGGGAUAACGUCCGGAAACGGGCGCUAAUACCGCAUACGUCCUGAGGGAGCAAGUGGGGGAUCUUCGGACCUCACGCUAUCAGAUGAGCCUAGGUCGGAUUAGCUAGUUGGUGGGGUAAAGGCCUACCAAGGCGACGAUCCGUAACUGGUCUGAGAGGAUGAUCAGUCACACUGGAACUGAGACACGGUCCAGACGCCUAAGGGAGGCAGCAGUGGGGAAUAUUGGACAAUGGGCGAAAGCCUGAUCCAGCCAUGCCGCGUGUGUGAAGAAGGUCUUCGGAUUGUAAAGCACUUUUAGUUGGGAGGAAGGGCAGUAAGUUAAUACCUUGCUGUUUUGACGUUACCAACAGAAUAAGCACCGGCUAACUUCGUG
RNAcentral lists this ribosomal RNA (484 nucleotides) under uncultured bacterium. RNAcentral describes it as "partial 16S ribosomal RNA". It matches the Rfam family "Bacterial small subunit ribosomal RNA", at positions 30 to 507 of the family's 1533-position model. The record is from RNAcentral.